This 505-nucleotide ribosomal RNA is filed under the name uncultured bacterium. RNAcentral describes it as "bacterial SSU rRNA". It matches the Rfam family "Bacterial small subunit ribosomal RNA", at positions 29 to 502 of the family's 1533-position model. The record is from RNAcentral.
AACGAACGCUGGCGGCGUGGAUAAGACAUGCAAGUCGAACGCUAAUACAAAGGUAGCAAUAUCGUUGUGUUGGAGUGGCGAAAGGGUGAUUAACACGUGGGCAAGUUACCGCGAGAUCUGGGAUAACCUGCUGAAAGGCAGGCUAAUACUGGAUAACACCUUGGAUCGGCAUCGAUUCAAGUUUAAAGCUGGGGACCCGCAAGGGCCUGGCGACUCGCGAUACGCCCGCGUCCUAUCAGCUAGUUGGCGGGGUAAAAGCCCACCAAGGCUAAGACGGGUAGCUGGUCUAAGAGGACGACCAGCCACACUGGAACUGAGACACGGUCCAGACACCUACGGGUGGCAGCAGUCGAGAAUUUUUCACAAUGGGCGAAAGCCUGAUGGAGCGACGCCGCGUGGGGGGAUGAAUGGCUUCGGCCCGUAAACCCCUGUCAUUUGCGAACAAACCUGGUGGUUGAACAAACUACCAGCUGAUAGUAGCAGAAGGAGGAAGGGACGGCUAACU